Mercurialis annua (annual mercury) is the source of this 2364-nucleotide long non-coding RNA. RefSeq lists it as uncharacterized. Lineage: Eukaryota; Viridiplantae; Streptophyta; Magnoliopsida; Malpighiales; Euphorbiaceae. The record is from RefSeq and is a predicted model, not a curated record. The transcript has 2 exons.
AGAGAUUAUAAAUAGAGGAACGGGAGAAAAUUAAAAAAGGACAUAAAAAUUAAAAAUUACUAUAUAAAUAGAGGGACUUGAAAAAUAAAAAACUAGUACAGGAGCUUUUUGAACAAAAUGACAUAGUACAAGGGGCUCUAGAUGGGUAGCCUUUAGAUAACUGACAUAAGUAAAAUGAUACAAAAAAUAUUAUAGUAUUAAAUAUGAUUUUGUUAAUGUGUCAUCCGGACUUGGAAAAUUUUGAACUUGAGGGAAAUAAACACACUAUGUUAAGGAGUUCUACUGAGAGCAACAUUAGAAAUGCAGCUGCAUGCUACAGUUGAUCCUAUUUCAUAAUUACCGACUUUUAAUCUAAUGGUUCUAGCGUGUUGAUUCGCAUUUAACCUAAUACCGUCUCUUUGAAUCCAACAAGAAAGAGGAUCGGAGGCCAAGGAAACAUCAUCAAUACAGAGGAUUAUCAAUGAAUCAAUUUCUGUUGCAGUUGGAGGAUCUAUUUACAUUCCAAUUCUUUUAACAACGAGUUAACUCUUCUUCGUGAGGUCCAGGUUUUGAUUCUUUUUCUUCUGCAGUUCGCUAUGAUAACGCACCAUGAUGUUGAUCUUCAUGCAGGAUACAUGACCGCGGAUUCUUGUACGCACGAUCGUCGAGUAUCUUUAUCCCUUUCUUCAGGCCUUCCGUUGGAUCUGCUUGUCCCGUGAAGAAAAGACGGUCGAUUACUUGCAGUGCUGUUCGCUUACCGUAGGAUGUCAUGCGUCUCAAGGGGAACACUCGGGCUGCAAGUGAGGAAUAAGUGACGAUGGCUAAACGAUCAAUUGGACGGAGAGAGAACACCACUAAUGCCAUGGACUGCUUGACAAGCCUCAGAUGCGGUCCGUUGGGGCUUGUUAUCAGAACCAUGUCUAUAGCUCUUUGCUGUGUUGACUGUACAGAUAGAUAGGCAGGAGUGAGUCUCACAUUUGAGGUGUAUGAGUGCGGAGAUGGUGGGUGUGAAAACAAUGAAGAAGGGUGGUGGGGAUAUUGGCAGUGUGAGAGCCAUCCAGAGGGUUGUGUGAAUGGAUGGUGAAAGAGUGUUAGCGGUAUGGGCACAAGGGAGAAGUGAAGGCGUGAAUGAGUUGAGGUGUCAUCAGGCUCAAUGGGGUCAUCAUCAUUGUAACGGGCAGAGCGCAGGAAAGAGCGCCUGUGGACCCGGAAAGUGGCAAUAGAAUCAUCAAGGAUUUGAAAAACGGGAUCAGAUUGGGUGCAAGAAAGGGAACACGGUGGGUUUAGGUUGCGGGGAAGUUGGGUCCAGUGGGCACGGCAGAUGGGGCAAGUAACACUGCCAUGGCGGACAUUGGAUGAGAUGCAAGCAAAGUGAAAUGAAUGAGAGCACUGAGCUGUGAAUAUAGCCUGGCCUGGGGUGUUUCCCUUGCUGUAACUCAGAGCUUCGAGGCAUAUUGCGCACAACUUCUGCUGCAACACAUGAUGAAUGAAAAAUUGAAAUUAGAAAAUUCUCUAGAAACUAGUUAUGAAUAAAGUAGAGGUUUCAGAAGAAUUAGAGAUGAGAACAUUGGAUUCCAUGAGUAAAUGCAUCAGUUAGUUGGUAAUGGAAAAAGCAAAAGGUAGCCCACCUUACAAUUCACGUUUCUGUCAUUGUGGUUGUCGAGAGUGGAACAAUGUGCUGCUUCCUCUGGCUUCGCGAGAGACAAUGCACUGGAAUCCGAACCCUGUUUGUAUCAUCAUCAUCAGAUGUUAGCAUUUCAAAUGGUCUAACAUAAUGAGGAAAUGCAUAGUUUAAUGAAAAAAGAGAAGAUUUUGAGUUUAUCGAAUACUGCUAGUCAUUAAUGGUUUACUCCGUACUCAAGAAAAGAAAAACGAUGAGUUGAUUUGGUCACAAUUGUAAAAUGAGAAAGAAAUUGAGGAAAUAUGAGAAGAAAGAAAGAGAAUUACAGUGAUGGAGAAGUGAUAGGAAUGAGGAUGAUCUACAUCGGCAAGAGCAGCAGGUGACGGCUUUGUGCAAGAGAAAGAGGAGCAAGCAGCCACCGCCACUGUUCUUGCUGCCUUUCUCAGCUUUGAAGACACUCCCAUUACUCAAAUCCUUCUCCUCAACUCCUAUCCUAUUCCAACUGAUAAUUACGAGAUGACACCGACAGUAAUAGCAAGUAGAAUUAAUAAUAUUUGCAAAUGUGCUUCAAACAAGUGCAGGUAAUGUUUCUGCAAAUGUUUCCACAUUUGUUUUCUGUUUCUUUGUUUCUUUCAAAUUCUCACACUAUUUUAUACCUCAGUUCAAAAGGGGAAAAAGAAAAAGAAGCCUGGGCUGUAUUUGUAACUUGUAAGCAGUGAUUUUGUCAUUACAAUAAUGGCCCCAAACUACUUUUACUUUCUUUC